RNAcentral lists this ribosomal RNA (381 nucleotides) under uncultured bacterium. RNAcentral's name for it is "bacterial SSU rRNA". It matches the Rfam family "Bacterial small subunit ribosomal RNA", at positions 29 to 402 of the family's 1533-position model. The record is from RNAcentral.
AGUGAACGCUGGCGGCGCGCCUAAUACAUGCAAGUCGAGCGAGAAGGUGUAGCAAUACACUUGUAAAGCGGCGAACGGGUGAGGAAUGCAUGGGUAACCUACCCUCGAGUGGGGAAUAACUAGCCGAAAGGUUAGCUAAUACCGCAUACGUUUCCGGAACUUCGGUUUCGGAAGAAAGCAUACCGUGGGUAUUGCGCUCCUGGAUGGGCUCAUGUCCUAUCAGCUUGUUGGUGAGGUAACGGCUCACCAAGGCUUCGACGGGUAGCUGGUCUGAGAGGACGAUCAGCCACACUGGCACUGCGACACGGGCCAGACUCCUACGGAGGCAGCAGUAAGGAAUAUUGCGCAAUGGACGAAAGUACUGACGCAGCGACGCCGCGU